AGUGAACGCUGGCGGUAGGCCUAACACAUGCAAGUCGAACGGCAGCACAGUAAGAGCUUGCUCUUACGGGUGGCGAGUGGCGGACGGGUGAGGAAUACAUCGGAAUCUACUUUUUCGUGGGGGAUAACGUAGGGAAACUUACGCUAAUACCGCAUACGACCUACGGGUGAAAGCAGUGGAUCUUCGGACCUUGCGCGAUUGAAUGAGCCGAUGUCGGAUUAGCUAGUUGGCGGGGUAAAGGCCCACCAAGGCGACGAUCCGUAGCUGGUCUGAGAGGAUGAUCAGCCACACUGGAACUGAGACACGGUCCAGACUCCUACGGGAGGCAGCAGUGGGGAAUAUUGGACAAUGGGCGCAAGCCUGAUCCAGCCAGACCGCGUGGGUGAAGAAGGCCUUCGGGUUGUAAAGCCCUUUUGUUGGGAAAGAAAAGCAGCAGGUUAAUACCCGGCUGUUCUGACGGUACCCAAAGAAUAAGCACCGGCUAACUUCGUG
This 492-nucleotide ribosomal RNA is filed under the name uncultured bacterium. RNAcentral's name for it is "partial 16S ribosomal RNA". It matches the Rfam family "Bacterial small subunit ribosomal RNA", at positions 29 to 507 of the family's 1533-position model. The record is from RNAcentral.